Molecule: ribosomal RNA, 506 nt
Filed under: uncultured bacterium
Lineage: Bacteria
Description: partial 16S ribosomal RNA
Rfam family: Bacterial small subunit ribosomal RNA
Source: RNAcentral
GAUGAACGCUAGCUACAGGCUUAACACAUGCAAGUCGAGGGGUAACGAGAGGAAAGCUUGCUUUCCUUGUCGACGACCGGCGCACGGGUGAGUAACGCGUAUCCAACCUGCCCCCAACUAGGGAAUAGCCUUGCGAAAGUAAGACUAAUACCCUAUAAUUUCCUCAGAUGACAUCUGACGAGGAAUAAAGAUUUAUCGGUGGUGGAUGGGGAUGCGUCUGAUUAGCUUGUUGGCGGGGUAACGGCCAACCAAGGCAACGAGCAGUAGGGGUUCUGAGAGGAAGGUCCCCCACAUUGGAACUGAGACACGGUCCAAACUCCUACGGGAGGCAGCAGUGAGGAAUAUUGGUCAAUGGGCGGAAGCCUGAACCAGCCAAGUAGCGUGCAGGAUGACGGCCCUAUGGGUUGUAAACUGCUUUUAUACAGGAAUAAAGUUAGCCACGUGUGGUUAUUUGUAGGUACUGUAUGAAUAAGGACCGGCUAAUUCCGUGCCAGCAGCCGCCGCCG